This 25-nucleotide non-coding RNA is filed under the name Rattus norvegicus (Norway rat). Lineage: Eukaryota; Metazoa; Chordata; Mammalia; Rodentia; Muridae. The record is from RNAcentral.
UGCCUAUCACAAAGUCACUUGCUGU